GUGAAUCAUCGAAUCUUUGAACGCACAUUGCGCCCUUUGGUAUUCCGAAGGGCAUGCCUGUUCGAGCGUCAUUUAAACUCUCAAGCCCAGCUUGGUGUUGGGAGAGGUCCCCGGACCCUCCUGCAACUCGUUGGCGUGAGCACCGCGACUUCAAGCGUAGCAAAUCACUCGCUUAGCUGUCCUGUGCCCGUCGCCAGUCAACGAAAUCUUUCAAAGUUUGACCUCGGAUCAGGUAGGGAUACCCGCUGAACUUAAGCAUAUCAAUAAGCGGAGGA
RNAcentral lists this unclassified non-coding RNA (275 nucleotides) under Ascomycota sp. RNAcentral describes it as "partial contains 5.8S ribosomal RNA, internal transcribed spacer 2, and large subunit ribosomal RNA". The stretch from base 1 to 71 matches the Rfam family "5.8S ribosomal RNA", at positions 84 to 154 of the family's 154-position model. Lineage: Eukaryota; Fungi; Ascomycota. The record is from RNAcentral.